ACGCACCAGACACACCCUGGGUGCCGCCGAGGAGGCGCCAGUGCUGGCACCGGUGACGGCGACCGGUGCUGUGGCUCGUUUGGCUUGUGGCGCCGGCGGCGGCGUCGUCGUCGACAAAGAUGACGUUGGCGGUGCAGAGGCCUCGGUGGGCACUGGCGAUUGACACAUUGAUGAGGCCUCGGUGGGUGCAUAGACGAGAGAUGCGUGCGUCGCGCGCGGACGCUUGCACGGCGCAUGUGCGACGGCCGCGAACCGCGCCAGGAGAGCCGACUUGCGCUUCAUCGGCAAAAAAAAGCGAGAGAGCGGCACCGGGCAGACAACAGCGGCAACAAAAAAAGGGAGGGUGGUGGUUGGCGAGGGGGAGGGGGCGGCAACGACCACAACCAAAAAUGCGGCGGGCGUCUGUCGUGUCCCGGUCUCUCUUUCCCCCCUCUCCUUUUUGAGUUGUUUUUCUUUUCGUCUGGCA
Molecule: long non-coding RNA, 466 nt
Filed under: Pandoravirus salinus
Description: putative ncRNA
Source: RNAcentral